Molecule: ribosomal RNA, 424 nt
Filed under: uncultured bacterium
Lineage: Bacteria
Description: bacterial SSU rRNA
Rfam family: Bacterial small subunit ribosomal RNA
Source: RNAcentral
GAAUAUUGGACAAUGGGCGAAAGCCUGAUCCAGCCAUGCCGCGUGUGUGAAGAAGGUCUUCGGAUUGUAAAGCACUUUAAGUUGGGAGGAAGGGCAGUAAGCGAAUACCUUGCUGUUUUGACGUUACCGACAGAAUAAGCACCGGCUAACUCUGUGCCAGCAGCCGCGGUAAUACAGAGGGUGCAAGCGUUAAUCGGAGUUACUGGGCGUAAAGCGCGCGUAGGUGGUUCGUUAAGUUGGAUGUGAAAUCCACGGGCUCAACCUGGGAACUGCAUCCAAAACUGGCGAGCUAGAGUAGGGCAGAGGGUGGUGGAAUUUCCUGUGUAGCGGUGAAAUGCGUAGAUAUGCGGAGGAAUACCGAUGGCGAAGGCAGCCCCCUGGGAUAAUACUGACGCUCAUGCACGAAAGCGUGGGGAGCAAACAG